Molecule: ribosomal RNA, 213 nt
Filed under: Cladosporium sp.
Lineage: Eukaryota; Fungi; Ascomycota; Dothideomycetes; Cladosporiales; Cladosporiaceae
Description: partial large subunit ribosomal RNA
Source: RNAcentral
AAGCGCUUGCAACCAGACUUGCGCGCGGUGGUUCCCCUCGCCUUUUGGCUAGGGUACUCCGCCGCGUCCAGGCCAACAUCGGUUUUGGGGGUCAGUUAAAGGCCUUGGGAAUGUACCUACCUACGGGUAGACUUAUAGACCAGGGUGCCAUGUGACCUCCCGGGACCGAGGAACGCGCUUCGGCUCGGAUGUUGGCGUAAUGGUUGUCAGCGA